GAUGAACGCUGGCGGUAUGCUUAACACAUGCAAGUCGAACGGUCACUUCGGUGGUAGUGGCGGACGGGUGGGUAACGCGUGAGAAUCUGUCUUCAGGUCGGGGACACCAGUUAGAAAUGACUGCUAAUACCGGAUGUGCCUUUGGGUGAAAGAUUUAUUGCCUGAAAAAGAGCUCGCGUCAGAUUAGCUAGUAGGUGGUGUAAGAGACUACCUAGGCUCCGAUCUGUAGCUGGUCUGAGAGGACGAGCAGCCACACUGGAGCUGAGACACAGUCCAGACUCCUACGGGAGGCAGCAGUGGGGAAUUUUCCGAAAUGGGGGAAAGCCUGACGGAGCAAUACCGCGUGAGGGACGAAGGCUGUUGGGUAGUAAACCUCUUUUCUCAAGGAAGAUGAUGACGGUACUUGAGGAAUAAGCAUCGGCUAACUCUGUG
Molecule: ribosomal RNA, 432 nt
Filed under: uncultured bacterium
Lineage: Bacteria
Description: partial 16S ribosomal RNA
Rfam family: Bacterial small subunit ribosomal RNA
Source: RNAcentral